RNAcentral lists this ribosomal RNA (1032 nucleotides) under Latilactobacillus curvatus. RNAcentral describes it as "bacterial SSU rRNA". It matches the Rfam family "Bacterial small subunit ribosomal RNA", at positions 34 to 1030 of the family's 1533-position model. The record is from RNAcentral. Lineage: Bacteria; Bacillati; Bacillota; Bacilli; Lactobacillales; Lactobacillaceae.
CCCUGAGGGGGCCGAUAAUGCAAGUCGAACGCACUCUCGUUAGAUUGAAGAAGCUUGCUUCUGAUUGAUAACAUUUGAGUGAGUGGCGGACGGGUGAGUAACACGUGGGUAACCUGCCCUAAAGUGGGGGAUAACAUUUGGAAACAGAUGCUAAUACCGCAUAAAACCUAGCACCGCAUGGUGCAAGGUUGAAAGAUGGUUUCGGCUAUCACUUUAGGAUGGACCCGCGGUGCAUUAGUUAGUUGGUGAGGUAAAGGCUCACCAAGACCGUGAUGCAUAGCCGACCUGAGAGGGUAAUCGGCCACACUGGGACUGAGACACGGCCCAGACUCCUACGGGAGGCAGCAGUAGGGAAUCUUCCACAAUGGACGAAAGUCUGAUGGAGCAACGCCGCGUGAGUGAAGAAGGUUUUCGGAUCGUAAAACUCUGUUGUUGGAGAAGAACGUAUUUGAUAGUAACUGAUCAGGUAGUGACGGUAUCCAACCAGAAAGCCACGGCUAACUACGUGCCAGCAGCCGCGGUAAUACGUAGGUGGCAAGCGUUGUCCGGAUUUAUUGGGCGUAAAGCGAGCGCAGGCGGUUUCUUAAGUCUGAUGUGAAAGCCUUCGGCUCAACCGAAGAAGUGCAUCGGAAACUGGGAAACUUGAGUGCAGAAGAGGACAGUGGAACUCCAUGUGUAGCGGUGAAAUGCGUAGAUAUAUGGAAGAACACCAGUGGCGAAGGCGGCUGUCUGGUCUGUAACUGACGCUGAGGCUCGAAAGCAUGGGUAGCAAACAGGAUUAGAUACCCUGGUAGUCCAUGCCGUAAACGAUGAGUGCUAGGUGUUGGAGGGUUUCCGCCCUUCAGUGCCGCAGCUAACGCAUUAAGCACUCCGCCUGGGGAGUACGACCGCAAGGUUGAAACUCAAAGGAAUUGACGGGGGCCCGCACAAGCGGUGGAGCAUGUGGUUUAAUUCGAAGCAACGCGAAGAACCUUACCAGGUCUUGACAUCCUUUGACCACUCUAGAGAUAGAGCUUUCCCUUCGGGGACAAA